UAUGGUUUCAGUCUCCUGCUUCAGCUUCAGCUUCAGAGAUAAAAAAAUUUCUGCCAUUUUCUUUUUCCUUCGGAGAUCGUCUACUCACUUUGGGUGAUUCUCAACUUUCUCUGUCUUCCUUUUCUGUUGGAGUUUGUUGAUGUCUCUUAUGCGUGCUGGUGGAGUUCUACUAGCUAAAAUUCCGAACAAGAGGUUGUUGCAACAGAUAAUUCGUGUGGGAACAAUGCCUUUAAAGAGCAUAAAGAUGGUAGACUUCAAUAUGUUUUAUGUGAUAGUAGCAGUUUUGGUCCAUCCAGUUUGUUGUACAAUAUUCGUAGUGUGAUUUGUUUUUAUAGCAACAACGUGACUUGUCUAUGUUAAUAUUUUGGUUUCUUUUUCAGUCUAAGCUUUAUUUCAACUUCACAAUUA
This is a non-coding RNA of Nicotiana tabacum (common tobacco), 408 nucleotides long. NCBI's taxonomy places the organism in Eukaryota, Viridiplantae, Streptophyta, Magnoliopsida, Solanales, Solanaceae. The record is from RefSeq and is a predicted model, not a curated record.